CCUACGGGCGGCAGCAGUAGGGAAUCUUCCACAAUGGGCGAAAGCCUGAUGGAGCAACGCCGCGUGGGUGAAGAAGGUCUUCGGAUCGUAAAACCCUGUUGUUAGAGAAGAAAGUGCGUGAGAGUAACUGUUCACGUGUCGACGGUAUCUAACCAGAAAGCCACGGCUAACUACGUGCCAGCAGCCGCGGUAAUACGUAGGUGGCAAGCGUUAUCCGGAUUUAUUGGGCGUAAAGUGAACGCAGGCGGUCUUGUAAGUCGGAUGUGAAAGCCUUCGGGUUAACCGGAGUAGUGCAUUGGAAACUGGGAGACGUGAGUGCAGAAGAGGAGAGUGGAACUCCAGGUGUAGCGGUGAAAUGCGUAGAUAUAUGGAAGAACACCAGUGGCGAAGGCGGCUCUCUGGUCUGUAACUGACGCUGAGGUUCGAAAGCGUGGGUAGCAAACAGGAUUAGAUACCCGGGUAGUC
Molecule: ribosomal RNA, 465 nt
Filed under: uncultured bacterium
Lineage: Bacteria
Description: partial 16S ribosomal RNA
Rfam family: Bacterial small subunit ribosomal RNA
Source: RNAcentral